RNAcentral lists this transfer RNA (89 nucleotides) under Lentzea sp. NBRC 102530. RNAcentral describes it as "tRNA-Ile". Lineage: Bacteria; Bacillati; Actinomycetota; Actinomycetes; Pseudonocardiales; Pseudonocardiaceae. The record is from RNAcentral.
GCUGGGCCUGGCUGGACUCGGUGUACAUCUCGGCGCUGAUGCCGCCGAAGACGUCCUCGUGCGGGUGUUCCGGCAGUGCCUGCUCGGUC